This 65-nucleotide microRNA precursor is filed under the name Microtus ochrogaster (prairie vole). RNAcentral's name for it is "miRNA (ENSMOCG00000010630.1)". The record is from RNAcentral. Lineage: Eukaryota; Metazoa; Chordata; Mammalia; Rodentia; Cricetidae.
UGGAGUUGAGACAUGGACUCUGCCAUGUAGGUGCUAGGUAGUAGUCUGUACGUUUCCUACUCCCU